AACGAACGUUGGCGGCGUGGAUUAGGCAUGCAAGUCGAACGAAUCUCAGCUUUGUAGCAAUACCGAGCUGGGGGAAGUGGCGAAAGGGGCAGUAAUACAUGGGCAACCUACCCCGGGGACGGGGAUAGCCUUCCUAACGGAUGGGUAAUACCUGGCGAUUUGGUUGAGGGGCAUCUCUCGACCAGGAAAUGAAUUUCGCCUCGGGAGGGGCUCAUGCGAUAUUAGCUAGUUGGUGGGGUAACGCCCACCAAGGCGAAGAUGUCUAGCGGGUGUGAGAGCACGACCCGCGCCACUGGCACUGAGACACU
RNAcentral lists this ribosomal RNA (308 nucleotides) under uncultured bacterium. RNAcentral describes it as "bacterial SSU rRNA". It matches the Rfam family "Bacterial small subunit ribosomal RNA", at positions 29 to 328 of the family's 1533-position model. The record is from RNAcentral.